GCUGGGUGUGGUGGCUCACGCCUGUAAUCCCAGCACUUUGGGAGGCUGAGGUGGGUGGAUCACCUGAGGUCAGGAGUUCUAGACCAGCCUGGCCAACAUGGUGAAACCCCAUCUCUA
Molecule: non-coding RNA, 117 nt
Organism: Nomascus leucogenys (northern white-cheeked gibbon)
Lineage: Eukaryota; Metazoa; Chordata; Mammalia; Primates; Hylobatidae
Rfam family: Metazoan signal recognition particle RNA
About the family: The signal recognition particle (SRP) is a universally conserved ribonucleoprotein. It is involved in the co-translational targeting of proteins to membranes.
Source: Rfam